Long non-coding RNA from Mus musculus (house mouse), 1793 nucleotides. RefSeq annotates it as predicted gene, 32478. NCBI's taxonomy places the organism in Eukaryota, Metazoa, Chordata, Mammalia, Rodentia, Muridae. The record is from RefSeq and is a predicted model, not a curated record. The transcript has 3 exons.
GACUGCAGGCUUCCUUUCCUCCACUCUUCUCAGCCCUCUCCAACCCAGAUCCACUCCUCCUCUGUUUACUUUCAGAAAAGAGUAGGCCUUUCAGGGAUAUCAACUGAACUUGAUGUUACAACUUACAAUAAAACUAGGCACAAACCUUCAUAUUAAGACUGGAUGAGGCAACACACAGGAGGAAAAGGGUCCCAAGAACAGGCAAAAGAGUUAGGGAUAGUCCCCAUUCCCACUAUUAGGAGUCCCACAAGAACACCAAGCUACACAAUCAUAACAGACAUGCAGAGAACCUAGCUCAGACCCAGACAGCACCUGUGAUUAUCACUUCAGCCUCUGUGAGGCCCCAUGAGCUCUGCUUAGUUAAUUCUGCAGGGCCAUGUUUUGCUGGCAUCCUUGAUCCCUCUAACUUGUACAAUCUUUCUUCUUCUUCAGGGUUCACUGAGCUCCACCCAAUGUUUGGUUGUGAGUCUCUGUAUCUGCUCCCAUCAGUUACUGGAUGAAGCCUCUCUGGUGAUGAUUGGGCUGGGUACCAGUAUAUUUCAUUGCCAUCCCCCCUUUGAUAGCCAGUUGUGUUUUGUUCUAUUCUAGGACUCUUAUCUAACCUCUGGUUUAUAAUCAUCCAGGGAGUGUCUGAUAUGGGCUCCCUCUGUGACAUGGGCCUCAAGUUAGACCAGUCCAUUGGUUGGUCACUUCCACAAGCUCUGAGCCACCAUUACCCCAGCACAUCUUGCAGACAGGACAAAAUGUAGGCACAGCACCUUCUGCUCCCAGGCUGGAAUCCCACACCCCAGUUUUCAGAGUUGUGGACUUACUCCUACUGCAUUAACAAAGGCCAUCUCUCUUGUCCUCAAGAAACUGCUCAGAUAGCCAGGCCCAGAAGUGACCAAUAGCUCCACUUUAUCCCAAGGAUUAUGAGGACAUCACUAAGCGAGCAGGCUGCCGCCAUGGAAGCCGAACACAGAAAAGUAUGCACAGCAAUGAUCAGCUGUUCAUGAGGAAUGUCUGCGAGAAGUGGGAGUAAAGGACGCAGUUGUUCUGACCCUGAGUAGGUCCAGAUCUUGUGGGUCAGGACCAGAUUAUCUUACGACCAAGGGAUAACUUGCCAGAACACCCAGUGCCGGUGCUGUUGGAUGCCCUUGGAUUUCCCUAUGUGGGUUAUUUUCUGAGGCCAGACCAAUCUUUCUCAGAGCCGCAGCCAAAGGCUCGGUAGCUCAAGAGUUACACAGAUUCUCAUGGUCUGUGCGAAGAUGCCCAACGUCUUUAGCUCUGAUGAUGUCAGGCUUUCAAUGACCCACACAGUUUCUAUCCUUUUCUCCUAUUGAAGUCUAACCACAGACUUCCCCACUGUUAUGACUCAUGGUUAGCCUUUCAUUCUACAGUGGUCCAUCUGCCAAUGUCCACUGUGCUGUGGUUUGGUAUGGAAUGUCCCUCAAAGGCUCAUAUGUUGAAGGUUUAAUCUCUAGCUGGUGGUGUUAUUGACUGUGAUCCAUUGAUUUUUUUUUAAAUGCUUUUGUAAUUAGCUCUUUGAGAAUUUUGUACAAUGUUGUAAGUCAUAUUUAUCAUUUCCUCAAUACCUAGCCCUGUCCUCAAUACCUCUCAGACCCAGCCCUGUUUCUUCAAUAAGAGACAAGUCCAUAAUUCUGGAAACUUUGGGAUGUGGAAUUCCAGCCUGGUUACAAGAGGUUCGAUGCCUACAGUGAACUAGAGACAAAUACCCCACAGUGUGUACGUUCUUAACCACUCAGCUUUGUCCUCUCUCUCUCUCUCUCUCUCUCUCUCUCUCUCUCCCUUCC